UACGGAGGGUGCGAGCGUUGUCCGGAAUCACUGGGCGUAAAGGGCGCGUAGGCGGCUGAAGGAGUCGGUGGUGAAAGCCCGUGGCUCAACUGCGGGUCGGCCACCGAUACUCUUCAGCUCGAGUUUGGUAGAGGCAGAUGGAAUUCCGGGUGUAGCGGUGGAAUGCGUAGAGAUCCGGAAGAACACCGGUGGCGAAGGCGGUCUGCUGGGCCAAGACUGACGCUGAGGCGCGACAGCGUGGGGAGCAAACAGG
Molecule: ribosomal RNA, 253 nt
Filed under: uncultured bacterium
Lineage: Bacteria
Description: partial 16S ribosomal RNA
Rfam family: Bacterial small subunit ribosomal RNA
Source: RNAcentral